RNAcentral lists this ribosomal RNA (254 nucleotides) under uncultured bacterium. Its description in RNAcentral is "partial 16S ribosomal RNA". It matches the Rfam family "Bacterial small subunit ribosomal RNA", at positions 524 to 776 of the family's 1533-position model. The record is from RNAcentral.
UACGUAGGGUGCGAGCGUUGUCCGGAAUUAUUGGGCGUAAAGAGCUUGUAGGCGGUUUGUCGCGUCUGCUGUGAAAUCCCAGGGCUUAACCCUGGGCCUGCAGUGGGUACGGGCAGACUAGAGUGCGGUAGGGGGAGAUCGGAAUUCCUGGUGUAGCGGUGAAAUGCGCAGAUAUCAGGAGGAACACCGGUGGCGAAGGCGGCAUCCUGGACCAACACUGACGCUGAGGAGCGAAAGCCAGGGGAGCAAACGGG